AUAUACUGAAAGUCGCAGGUUCUCGG
Molecule: non-coding RNA, 26 nt
Filed under: Cricetulus griseus (Chinese hamster)
Lineage: Eukaryota; Metazoa; Chordata; Mammalia; Rodentia; Cricetidae
Source: RNAcentral